GAUGAAGAACGCAGCGAAAUGCGAUAAGUAAUGUGAAUUGCAGAUUUCAGUGAAUCAUCGAAUCUUUGAACGCACCUUGCGCCUUGUGGUAUUCCACAAGGCAUGCCCGUUUGAGUAUCAUUAAAUCAUCAACUCUAAAACCUUUGUGGUUUUUUUAGAGCUUGGUCUUGAGGGUUUUGCAGGCUUUUUUUUUUUCGAGUCUGCUCCCUUUAAAUGCAUUAGCGAGACUUCCCUAUGCUGAACCUUCUCUUUGACGUGAUAAUUAUCUGCGUCGAAUUUUGGUUCUCGUUGGGCUUGCUUCUAAUCGUCUGUUAAAGACAAAACGGAUUUGGGUGCAUAUAUGCGCCUUUUUCCAAAACCUUUUUUGAUCUCAAAUCGGGUAGGACUACCCGCUGAACUUAAGCAUAUCAAUAAGCGGAGGA
This 422-nucleotide unclassified non-coding RNA is filed under the name soil metagenome. RNAcentral's name for it is "partial contains 5.8S ribosomal RNA, internal transcribed spacer 2, and large subunit ribosomal RNA". The stretch from base 1 to 120 matches the Rfam family "5.8S ribosomal RNA", at positions 35 to 154 of the family's 154-position model. The record is from RNAcentral.